RNAcentral lists this ribosomal RNA (372 nucleotides) under uncultured organism. RNAcentral describes it as "bacterial SSU rRNA". It matches the Rfam family "Bacterial small subunit ribosomal RNA", at positions 526 to 896 of the family's 1533-position model. The record is from RNAcentral.
CGUAGGAGGCGAGCGUUAUCCGGAUUCACUGGGCGUAAAGCGCGUGCAGGUGGCUUGGUAAGUUAGGCGUGAAAUCUCCCGGCUCAACUGGGAGAGGUCGUCUAAUACUACCGGGCUAGAGAGCAGAAGAGGAAGAUGGAAUUCCCGGUGUAGUGGUGAAAUGCGUAGAUAUCGGGAGGAACACCAGUGGCGAAGGCGAUCUUCUGGUCUGUUUCUGACACUCAGACGCGACAGCUAGGGUAGUAAACGGGAUUAGAGACCCCGGUAAUCCUAGCCGUAAACGAUGUGAACUUGGCGUUGGUGGGUUAAACUCCAUCAGUGCCGAAGCAAACGCGAUAAGUUCACCGCCUGGGGACUACGGCCGCAAGGUUA